UACGUAGGAGGCAAGCGUUGUCCGGAUUUAUUGGGCGUAAAGAGCGUGUAGGCGGCCAAGCAGGUCCGCUGUGAAAACUCGAGGCUCAACCUCGAGACGUCGGUGGAAACCGUUUGGCUAGAGUCCGGAAGAGGAGAGUGGAAUUCCCGGUGUAGCGGUGAAAUGCGCAGAUAUCGGGAAGAACACCCGUGGCGAAGGCGGCUCUCUGGGACGGUACUGACGCUGAGACGCGAAAGCGUGGGGAGCGAACAGG
Molecule: ribosomal RNA, 253 nt
Filed under: uncultured bacterium
Lineage: Bacteria
Description: partial 16S ribosomal RNA
Rfam family: Bacterial small subunit ribosomal RNA
Source: RNAcentral